RNAcentral lists this ribosomal RNA (565 nucleotides) under uncultured Glomeromycotina. Its description in RNAcentral is "SSU rRNA". It matches the Rfam family "Eukaryotic small subunit ribosomal RNA", at positions 548 to 1114 of the family's 1831-position model. Lineage: Eukaryota; Fungi; Glomeromycota. The record is from RNAcentral.
UUGGAGGGCAAGUCUGGUGCCAGCAGCCGCGGUAAUUCCAGCUCCAAUAGCGUAUAUUAAAGUUGUUGCAGUUAAAAAGCUCGUAGUUGAAUUUCGGGAUCAAAUUGUCGGUCGUGCCUUGGUACGCACUGGCAUUAUUGGUUCCUAUCUUCUGAAAAACCGCGAUUGUCAUUAAUUUGGUGUCAUGGGGAAUCAGAACUGUUACUUUGAAAAAAUUAGAGUGUUUAAAGCAGGCGCACGCUUGAAUACAUUAGCAUGGAAUAAUGAAAUAGGACGUUUGAUUCUAUUUUGUUGGUUUCUAGGAUCGACGUAAUGAUUAAUAGGGAUAGUUGGGGGCGUUAGUAUUCAAUUGUCAGAGGUGAAAUUCUUGGAUUUAUUGAAGACUAACUACUGCGAAAGCAUUUGCCAAGGAUGUUUCCAUUAAUCAAGAACGAAAGUUAGGGGAUCGAAGACGAUCAGAUACCGUCGUAGUCUUAACCAUAAACUAUGCCGACUAGGGAUCGGAUGAUGUUAAUUUUAUAAUGACUCAUUCGGCGCCUUACGGGAAACCAAAGUGUUUGGGUUC